This 400-nucleotide ribosomal RNA is filed under the name uncultured bacterium. Its description in RNAcentral is "bacterial SSU rRNA". It matches the Rfam family "Bacterial small subunit ribosomal RNA", at positions 355 to 769 of the family's 1533-position model. The record is from RNAcentral.
UCGAGAAUCUUCCGCAAUGGGCGAAAGCCUGACGGAGCGAUACAGCGUGAUGGAUGAAGUGCCUCGGCACGUAAACAUCUUUUAUGUGGGAAGAAGUAAUUGACGGUACCACAUGAAUAAGGGGCUCCUAACUCUGUGCCAGCAGGAGCGGUAAUACAGAGGCCCCAAGCGUUACCCGGAAUCACUGGGCGUAAAGGGUGUCUAGGCGGCCAUGUUAGUCUUCCGUAAAAUCCAGGAGCUCAACUUCUGGCCCGCGGGAGAAACGGCAUGGCUUGAGGGUGGGAGAGGUGCGUGGAACUCACGGUGUAGGGGUGAAAUCCGUUGAUAUCGUGGGGAACACCAAAGGCGAAGGCAGCGCACUGGCCCAUUCCUGACGCUCACACACGAAAGCCAGGGUAGC